UNCAGAGUGAGAUGAAGAUUGACCUCAGC
This 29-nucleotide non-coding RNA is filed under the name Rattus norvegicus (Norway rat). Lineage: Eukaryota; Metazoa; Chordata; Mammalia; Rodentia; Muridae. The record is from RNAcentral.